CACGUAGGGGGCAAGCGUUGUCCGGAUUUAUUGGGCGUAAAGAGCUCGUAGGCGGUUCGGUAAGUCGGGUGUGAAACCUCCAGGCUCAACCUGGAGACGCCACCCGAUACUGCUGUGACUCGAGUCCGGUAGGGGAGCGUGGAAUUCCUGGUGUAGCGGUGAAAUGCGCAGAUAUCAGGAGGAACACCAGCGGCGAAGGCGGCGCUCUGGGCCGGUACUGACGCUGAGGAGCGAAAGCGUGGGGAGCGAACAGG
Molecule: ribosomal RNA, 254 nt
Filed under: uncultured bacterium
Lineage: Bacteria
Description: partial 16S ribosomal RNA
Rfam family: Bacterial small subunit ribosomal RNA
Source: RNAcentral